RNA transcript from Dermacentor silvarum, 3008 nucleotides. RefSeq lists it as uncharacterized. The transcript is spliced from 3 exons. Lineage: Eukaryota; Metazoa; Arthropoda; Arachnida; Ixodida; Ixodidae. The record is from RefSeq and is a predicted model, not a curated record.
UGCCGCGUAGGUACGGCGCUCAUCUCUCGUUAUAUCUCGUUCGAGUGAGAUAGAAUCAGGUACAGAGAGAAGCGGCACCGGCAGCCGUGUAAAGUUACAUCGGCGUAAGUGAUGCAAGGGUCCGUCGCAGCUCUGUAGCUUCAUCAAGAGCUCGUUUGAUGAUAUUCAGGUAUAAAAGCAUCAAGCAUCCAUCGGCUGGUCGCAAAACCUGUCUGGUCUCCGUGAUCACCAGCUCAGCGACGCAACCACCUUAUACAGGCGCCGCCAUGAACGCAGUUCUCUUCACUGUCCUCCUUGGUUUGGUCUCUGCCGCCUCUGCCGGCUUCAUCGGUGGGUACGAUGGUGGCGACGACGCAGGACUCGGUGCCGGCGACGGUGCUGGCCAUAGCUAUCGCUACUGGGUCGGUAAUAGCCCUGGCGCUGGCUCCGGCUCUGGCGCCGGCUCUGGCUCUGGUUCCGGCUCCGGUUCUGGCUCCGGCUCAGGCUCCGGCUCUGGCUCCGGCUCAGGCUCUGGCUCUGGCUCCGGUUCUGGCUCCGGCUCUGGCUCCGGCUCUGGCCGGGGCUAGGGCUCCGGCCCCGGCUCAGGCUUCUGCUUUGGCUCUGGCGCUGGCCACGGCUCGGCCGGCCAGCGAGCCGUCACUGCCCGUCCUGUCGUGGUCUGUUCCUGACUCAUCAAAAGAAGUCAUUAAGCAUCAUUGCUUUAUUAUGUAUUCGCGAUUUCUGCUCGUUAGGGCGAGUAAGUCGCCAUGGCUGGAAAUCGCGAGUGUCCAUGUUCUGAGCAUGAUGCAAUAUUAGAAUUAGACAAGGAACUAUGAAAGCAAAAUUAGAAGAGGAACUAUGAAAGCAAUUAUACGAAAAACAAGCUUACUCUCACCAUAAUUUACUGAAAGAUGAGGGCUGCUUAUCUGUUAAGCACAAAAACACAAGGAUUAAAGACCAGCUGGCAUGAGUCACCAGAAGAAAUAAAGACAAGAGUUAUUUCAACGCGGUCAGAGAAUUCAUUUCAGCGAACUUGAUUUCCGCGCAGUUUUCCUUGAGGGUUUUACCGUUGACCAUGCGUAUUUUUUUAAGUUGCAUAUUUUAUCAAUUUUGCAAUCUCUUUUUUUUAUUUCACUUUUAGCUUUAUCUCACUUCACGUGUGCUGCCGCUCAUCCCAUUUUGUGAGACCAUAUCCGGAACAUUUAUCCUGCCAGUUACUGAUAGGACAUUGUGUGCGGUUUUGUAUGUUUUCGUUUGUCUCACGUGGUUCCUUUGAUACAGAAACAUGUUUUAUACUUACCUUCAGUAAUAGAUAGCCUUAUAUCUCGCCAGAAGUGAGAGGAAGGACACUUAUAAAAGGCGGUGCUCACGAAUAAAAUUGAAGCUGGUGGUUCAGCGCUUAUCUUGAGUGUGCUUGUCUCUCCGCUUUCGUCAUUUCGUGCUGUCUAGCUUAACGUAUACGUCGUGCCAACUUGUCCAACAAGGGUACUCCAAUGCGGACACAAUCGUCACAUCAUUAAGAUUCCGGGACAGGCAGACAAGGUAUCAUUGCGUCUGCAGUCCGUUCGGACACUUCGACAUGGCGUCCAAAGCUGAAUCGGGACGCCAUUUACGUCGACAGUGAUCUUACAUGGGACGUUGGUACAGGCUUAUUACAAAGAAAAACUGCUUUUGAAUGGAACGUAUCAAAGCGGUGACCAUCAACCAUAAUUCUCAUUCGUACAGAGAAAGGCUAUUUGCAUGCUGUUAUGAAAAAAAUUGAUGAAAUAAUGAUUGAGAAUUGUUUGUGAGUUGUAAACGUGUCAUGUCCUCGCGAUGACGGCAUGUGAGUAGCCUUUCACUAUCUGAAUAACCACUACGGUUCUAGUCAACGCUCCGGUUUGUUGUUUCCUGUUACCUAGUCCAAAAUCGCUGUUUGUUCACACAAGGGAAGCUAUUAGUGCAGAUCUCGUGGUUACCGGCCGCGUAAGUCGUAGCGUUUACCGGUGUUAGGAGUCGCAUGGUCGCACUUUUGUUUUUGUUGUUGUUUAAUAAAUGAUCAGGCCACGGGAAAAUAGGCCCACGAACAGCCAGCUGUUCAAAUUAUCCAAAAUAAGCUCCAACGACAGAGGCAUGUAGAAAAAAAAAGGAAACAAAGAAACAGUGGGCAGAAAUAAAAGCUUAAAGCACAAAUAGCGGAGCAAUAGAUCAUCCUUAACUCAGGCACAGCGUGCUGCACCAUAUGCAUGUUUCGAACUUUAAUUGAAUGAAAAAGCAACUACAGGCUUGGUGAUGAUGAUGGUGAUGAUUUAUUGGCAUCCCCAUUAAAACGGGGCGGCGACAAAUAGUCACCUAGCCUGCUUGAUUAAUCAGCUCUACUAUACAUCUUCUUUAUCUAGCAUUUUUGUAUACCUCUCACUAUUCCUUUUCUUUUUCAAAACAUUACCUUGUAUCGCUACCUAUGAUUUUAAGAGAUCAGGUCAUAUCCAUCUUUUCCCUGCUUUUUUUUCCACCAGUACUCUAGUCGUCUCUUGCUUAUAUCUACGGCUGAUCUGUUGAUGUUUCCUUUCACUUUAAACCCAAGCGGUUCUGGGAGUUGCACGUUACCUACGGUUCUCGCUGGGUGGAUCCCGUCACAUACCAUUAGGAUGUGCUGAGUGGUCUCUGGAUCUUUACUGCCGCAUACACAUGCCUCAUUUAGUUCUGAAUAUUUGCUCCGGUAUGUUUUGGUCCUUAGGCAACCGGCUCGAGUCUGCACACAAAGGGCAAGGCACUGCCCUUUGUGUUAUCGUACAGAUUUUCCCUUCUAAUUUCUUUCUCCUCAUUCUUGUAAAUCUCCAUUGUUUAUUUUGUUUCCAUUCUUUGCAUCCAAUUCACGGUCUCUAUUUCUCUCAAUACCUUCCUUUCUGAUGACUAUUGGUUGUCUAUUUGCAGUUUCGUAUAUCCCAUACUUGGUUGCCAACUUCCUUGACCUCUUCCUCCAUUCUGCGUCCACGCUUUUCAUGUAGAGAUACUUGUGCACUUUAGCCGCCCAUUUAUUUUCAUCCAUG